This 338-nucleotide unclassified non-coding RNA is filed under the name soil metagenome. RNAcentral describes it as "partial contains 5.8S ribosomal RNA, internal transcribed spacer 2, and large subunit ribosomal RNA". The stretch from base 1 to 121 matches the Rfam family "5.8S ribosomal RNA", at positions 35 to 154 of the family's 154-position model. The record is from RNAcentral.
GAUGAAGAACGUAGCGAAAUGCGAUAAGUAAUGCGAAUUGCAGAAUUCCAGUGAAUCAUCGAAUCUUUGAACGCACAUUGCGCCCCUUGGUAUUCCAUGGGGCAUGCCUGUUCGAGCGUCAUUUGUACCCUCAAGCUCUGCUUGGUGUUGGGUGUUUGUCCCGCUUUACGCGUGGACUCGCCUUAAAGCAAUUGGCAGCCGGCAAUCUGGUUAUAGAGCGCAGCACAUUUUGCGCUUCUUGCCAUGGAUGUCGGCGUCCAUCAAGUACAUUUUUUUGCUCUUGACCUCGGAUCAGGUAGGGAUACCCGCUGAACUUAAGCAUAUCAAUAAGCGGAGGA